RNAcentral lists this ribosomal RNA (1169 nucleotides) under uncultured fungal contaminant. RNAcentral's name for it is "SSU rRNA". It matches the Rfam family "Eukaryotic small subunit ribosomal RNA", at positions 146 to 1324 of the family's 1831-position model. Lineage: Eukaryota; Fungi. The record is from RNAcentral.
ACCGUGGUAAUUCUAGAGCUAAUACAUGCUAAAAACCUCGACUUCGGAAGGGGUGUAUUUAUUAGAUUAAAAACCAAUGCCCUUCGGGGCUUCUUGGUGAUUCAUAAUAACUUAACGAAUCGCAUGGCCUUGCGCCGGCGAUGGUUCAUUCAAAUUUCUGCCCUAUCAACUUUCGAUGGUAGAGUAGUGGUCUACCAUGGUGUCGACGGGUAACGGGGAAUUAGGGUUCGAUUCCGGAGAGGGAGCCUGAGAAACGGCUACCACAUCCAAGGAAGGCAGCAGGCGCGCAAAUUACCCAAUCCCGAUACGGGGAGGUAGUGACAAUAAAUACUGAUGCAGAGCUCUUUUGGGUUUUGCAAUUGGAAUGAGUACAAUCUAAAUCCCUUAACGAGGAACAAUUGGAGGGCAAGUCUGGUGCCAGCAGCCGCGGUAAUUCCAGCUCCAAUAGCGUAUAUUAAAGUUGUUGCGGUUAAAAAGCUCGUAGUUGAACCUUGGGUCUGGCUGGCCGGUCCGCCUCACCGCGUGUACUGGUCCGGCCGGAUCUUUCCUUCUGGGGAGCCCGAUGUCCUUCACUGGGUGUCGUGGGGAACCAGGACUUUUACUUUGAAAAAAUUAGAGUGUUCAAAGCAGGCCUAUGCUCGAAUACAUUAGCAUGGAAUAAUAGAAUAGGACGUUGGUUCUAUUUUGUUGGUUUCUAGGACCGCCGUAAUGAUUAAUAGGGAUAGUCGGGGGCAUCAGUAUUGAAUUGUCAGAGGUGAAAUUCUUGGAUUUAUUCAAGACUAACUACUGCGAAAGCAUUUGCCAAGGAUGUUUUCAUUAAUCAGUGAACGAAAGUUAGGGGAUCGAAGACGAUCAGAUACCGUCGUAGUCUUAACCAUAAACUAUGCCAGCUAGGGAUCGGUGGGUGUUUUAUUUUUGACCCCAUCGGCACCUUGUGAGAAAUCAAAGCGUUUGGGUUCCGGGGGGAGUACGGUCGCAAGAUUGAAACUUAAAGCAAUUGGCGGAAGGGCACCACAAGGCGUGGAGCCUGCGGCUUAAUUUGACUCAACACGGGGAAACUCACCAGGUCCAGACAAAAUAAGGAUUGACAGAUUGAGAGCUCUUUCUUGAUUUUUUGGGUGGUGGUGCAUGGCCGUUUUUAGUUGGUGGAGUGAUUUGUCUGCUUAAUU